UACGGGGGGGCAAGCGUUGUUCGGAAUUACUGGGCGUAAAGCGCACGUAGGCGGAUUUGUAAGUCAGGGGUGAAAUCCCGGGGCUCAACCUCGGAACUGCCUUUGAUACUGCAAAUCUCGAGUCCGGAAGAGGUGAGUGGAAUUCCUAGUGUAGAGGUGAAAUUCGUAGAUAUUAGGAAGAACACCAGUGGCGAAGGCGGCCCGCUGGGCAGUGGCUGACGCUGAGGCGCGACAGCGUGGGGAGCAAACAGG
RNAcentral lists this ribosomal RNA (252 nucleotides) under uncultured bacterium. RNAcentral's name for it is "partial 16S ribosomal RNA". It matches the Rfam family "Bacterial small subunit ribosomal RNA", at positions 524 to 776 of the family's 1533-position model. The record is from RNAcentral.